Molecule: ribosomal RNA, 233 nt
Filed under: uncultured bacterium
Lineage: Bacteria
Description: partial 16S ribosomal RNA
Rfam family: Bacterial small subunit ribosomal RNA
Source: RNAcentral
UGGGCAACCUGCCCCUCUCUCUGGGAUAACCCCGGGAAACCGGAGCUAAUACCGGAUACUCCGGCUGGAUCGCAUGGUCCGGCCGGGAAAGGUCCGCCGGAGAGGGAUGGGCCCGCGGCCUAUCAGCUUGUUGGUGGGGUCAUGGCUCACCAAGGCGACGACGGGUANCUGGUCUGAGAGGACGACCAGCCCACACUGGAACUGAGAUACGGUCCAGACCUCCUACGGGAGCA